This 446-nucleotide ribosomal RNA is filed under the name uncultured bacterium. RNAcentral's name for it is "bacterial SSU rRNA". It matches the Rfam family "Bacterial small subunit ribosomal RNA", at positions 329 to 792 of the family's 1533-position model. The record is from RNAcentral.
GCCCAGACUCCUGCGGGAGGCAGCAGUGGGGAAUAUUGCACAAUGGGGGAAACCCUGAUGCAGCGACGCCGCGUGAGCGAUGAAGUAUUUCGGUAUGUAAAGCUCUAUCAGCAGGGAAGAAGAUGACGGUACCUGACUAAGAAGCCCCGGCUAACUACGUGCCAGCAGCCGCGGUAAUACGUAGGGGGCAAGCGUUAUCCGGAUUUACUGGGUGUAAAGGGAGCGUAGACGGCAGGGCAAGUCUGGAGUGAAAGCCCGGGGCCCAACCCCGGGACUGCUUUGGAAACUGCCAUGCAAGAGUGCUGGAGAGGUAAGCGGAAUUCCUAGUGUAGCGGUGAAAUGCGUAGAUAUUAGGAGGAACACCAGUGGCGAAGGCGGCUUACUGGACAGUAACUGACGUUGAGGCUCGAAAGCGUGGGGAGCAAACAGGAUUAGAUACCCCCGUA